Molecule: ribosomal RNA, 478 nt
Filed under: uncultured bacterium
Lineage: Bacteria
Description: partial 16S ribosomal RNA
Rfam family: Bacterial small subunit ribosomal RNA
Source: RNAcentral
GACGAACGCUGGCGGCGUGCUUAACACAUGCAAGUCGAACGGUAAGGCCCUUCGGGGUACACGAGUGGCGAACGGGUGAGUAACACGUGGGUGAUCUGCCCUGCACUUCGGGAUAAGCCUGGGAAACUGGGUCUAAUACCGGAUAGGACCCUGAGAUGCAUGUCCUGGGGUGGAAAGCUUUUGCGGUGUGGGAUGGGCCCGCGGCGCAUUAGCUAGUUGGUGAGGUAACGGCUCACCAAGGCGACGAUGCGUAGCCGACCUGAGAGGGGGAUCGGCCACAUUGGGACUGAGACACGGGCCAGACUCCUACGGGGGGCAGCAGUGGGGAAUAUUGGGCAAUGGAGGAAACUCUGACCCAGCGACGCCGCGUGAGGGAUGAAGGCCUUCGGGUUGUAAACCUCUUUCAGCAGGGAAUAAGCGAAAGUGAAGGUACCUGCAGAAGAAGGACCGGCCAACUACGUGCCAGCCGCCGCGGUAA